AGACCUUGCAGUGCAAAAGUAUGUUACUAAAGAAAAUUACAAGGAUACGAGAGCAUCGCAUUUGGUAGUGGCUGCACUCAUAGCAACAGUAGCCUUCGCAGCAGCUUUCACCAUUCCUGGCGGUUAUAGAAGCGAAAAUGGAACUGCAAUCCUGAGGAGAAAUACAGCUUUUCAAGCAUUUAUAGUAGCAGAUUCCAUUGCCAUGGUCUUUUCUCUUUCUGCCGUCUUUACUCACUUCUGCUUGUCUCUUCUAAUUGAAGAAACUAAAGAUUUCAAUGAGGCUCUGUUUGGUGCUUCAGUUUGGUUCACCAUAUUUUCCAUGGGAGCAAUGGUGAUUGCAUUCGUUACGGGAACGUAUGCAAUGUUAGUACCUUCUUUAGGCCUUGCUAUUAUCACUUGUUUAAUUGGCUUGAGCUUUUUCUUGCUUGUGAUUUUGAUCAUCAGAUUGUCUAUUACGGAGUAGGACAAAAGUAAUUGAUUGUAGUGAGUCACCAUCUUUGUUUAUCAAUAAAAUGAUUGAUUUUCAUUUUAACAUAAACAUUAACUAAUUUACUCAAUCUUUGCUAAUAAUGAAUUAUUAUUUUAAUUGUACAUUGAUCACUGAUGUUUUAAUGAAAAUCAAAUUUGAGAAACAGGCAGGUCUACUUUGCUGUUAAUAAUUAGAUUGAAUUGGUGAGAGAAAGUCAAAAUCAAAUUUAAUAUUUCAAAUUGUUUGUACUUUCUUAUGUUGAUUGAAUAAAAUCUUGAUUACUUUGUCAAAAAAAAAAUUGAAAAAUUUUAUCUCUUUGUAUAAUGCGUCAUUAGAAAUCUUUAAUUAGAUAUGAUUAAAGAAAACCUAUGAUGCGUGUUUAAGGGUGGUGUCUAUAUAUAUAUAUAUAUAUAUAUAAUAUGUUUGUUUUAAUAGGUUAAUAUAUUGUCAUCAGAAUUUUAUUAAUAUUUACAAUAAAAAAUUUAUCAAAACUAUUCUUAAUAAGUCUAGUAUGACAUAGUUUGAAUUUCUACCCUCACAUAAUAUUAUAGGGAUGUUUGCUCUACUCAUAUUAAUGGAGAAGAAAUUUACUCCUAUCCAAUUUAAUUAGAAGGGAAACCGGGUCCAAUAAUAAUUAGGACUCAAAGGUUGUACUAAUGGGCUAAGAAAAUGAGUACUUAUAUAAGUAAAUUAAAAUUUACCAUUCAAUAGAGAUAAUGACACAUCAUUUUAAAGUCAAAUCCUACGUCACCAAAUGAGUUGAAUUAAGACCGAGAAAGACCAAAAGGGAGGGACGUUACUUUGGAGGAAUUAUUGCAACCAUUGAAAACUAACAAUGGUUGAGGGGAAAAAAUUGAUUUGGGUUGGCUAAGGUAGAUUCUUUUUAAGAAGCACUAACUAGAAAAAGAAUUUUAAUAUAUUUACAUAGAUGGCAGCUAGUUUUGUCCGUAAAUUCUUUUUUAAAUAUCUUUAAUAAAUUUUAACAAGCAACAAGGUAUUCAAUAUGUGAGAGAUUUGAGAUGAAUUAGAUUGAAACUAAAAAACAGAGUCUCUUUGACAGUACAUUAAUAGUGCAUUUAUUAACUAAGAAUCCUAAUAGUCAAGAGUUAUUAUGGGUUGGAAUCAAAAUGUGGAAGAAUAAAUUUUCUACUUCAACUACAAGAAUCGAGAUCGAAAUCAACAGUAUUUCAAAUUUGAUGUGUUUAUUUUGUCUUAAAAUCAAAAUAGAUGGUUGUAAGUUACCAAAAUGGAGUAAAAAGAAAGUUUUAAUUUUCAAUAAAGAUAAACAAGUUUUACUCUUUGACAGUACAUUAAUAGUGCAUUUAUUAACUAAGAAUCCUAAUAGUCAAGAGUUAUUAUGGGUUGGAAUCAAAAUGUAGAAGAAUAAAUUUUCUACUUCAACUACAAGAAUCGAGAUCGAAAUCAACUGUAUUUCAAAUUUGAUGUGUUUAUUUUGUGUUAAAAUCAAAAUAGAUGGUUGUAAGUUACCAAAAUGGAGUAAAAAGCAAGUUUUAAUUUUCAAUAAAGAUAAACAAGUUUUACUCUUUAUUCUCAAUUCUCCAUUCUUAUUCCCACCUCUUCUAUCCAAAUGAAAUUCCUACUCAUUCUCAAAUAUAUGCAACUCACUCAAAAUUUAUUUAUAUUUCUUUGUAUUUUUAGCAAGUAAAUAUUAUUAACAAUUCUCAUUCCUCAUUUUUUAAAUAUAAAAAAUAAACACAUCAACGAAAUCAUGUGGUUGUCCUGAAAUUGAUUUAAGAACCCACAUUGAGAAUUUGUUUCCUUCUAACUUUAUUUUGACUUUCAGAAGACACGACUCCACUCCCACAUUAAACCAAUGGCAAGUGGAUGGUUGCUGGCUGUGAGGAAGCCACUUUGGAUUCGGUGAUUGUCACCCUUAUGAGUUAUGACCACAAAAAAGGAAAGUGGAUGAAAAAGAAAAUUACUCAUUUUUUUUUUAAAAAAAGGAAUUUUGAUUGUAGACUCUGUAGUCUCUACUCAUUGUGAGUUAGAUUCUCUUGCUACUACUUACUAGACAUGUCGCUUGUAACUGUUAGUCGCAUCAGGGGGCCUAUCUCCCCAACAAAUAACCAAAACGCACAACAAAAGAAAAGAAACAGAGAGGGGAUUUGUGAAAUACUGAAAAUUACGGUCAUAAUAAAUUUUAAUUAAUAUAUGUGUCACAACUACUAUAAACAAUAAAAGAUAAAUUAAGAAUUUUUAUUAUUUAAUGAUUUUUUAUCAUUUUAAUUUUGACUAAUAGACGAACUUAGUGGCAGUUUAUUUAUUUUUUACUUAAUAACUUAAUUGACUUAAUUUUAAUUAGUUAAGCCAUUAAGUCUGUUUGUUUUUUAAAUUUAAUGAAGAUUUUUAGCAAUUAAGUUAUUAAGCUAAUUUUUUUAGCUUUUUAAUUAAUCUAAAAAAUUUGAAUGCUAUCAUUAAAAGAUAUUUUCUAAAAUAUCCCUAUUUAAUUAAUUAAUUUUCAUCCUUAGCUAAAUAAAAUUUAAUAAUUAGCAUUAUUACUCAUUUGUAUAUAACUUGUGAUAAUAUAUAGUGGUAGCCUAUUAUUAUUUUUUAUUUUUAUUUUGUUCAAAUUAGCAUUAUUUAUCUUCAUAAUUUUUUAUGAAUAUUUUUCAUAUAAAAACAUCACAAACUAUAAUAAAAUUGAUUAACAUAUAUGAUAUAAAAUAUUAAAGAGUUGAACUCAAUUGAAUAUGAUUUAUGUUAUGAUAAUUUAUUACCUUAUUUAUUUUCUUUGAUAUGUUUAUUAUUUGUUUAACAUUAUAAUUUGUAAGGGCAUAAAUGUAAAAAUAUUAGUUUUCAGAUUUUUUCAGUCAAAAAAACAAACAACUUAAUAUUUAUUUCUAGCUAUUCAGACAAAAAAAAUAAACAUAUAAUUCAAAUUUAGACAUUCAGUUCUAUUCAGAAUUCAUACUAAUUUAGGUUUAUUCAGAUUUUAGACAAAAAAAUAAACGCCACCUUAAUGAUUUUGAUAAAUUAAUGAGAUAUUUCUUUUUUUUAAAAAAACAUUUAUACAACUUUGUAUUCUCAUUCAUAUUUUAAAUGAACAAUUUGUUAAAAUUAUAAAUAUAAUUAUUAUUAAUAAAAUAUCACUCCAUUGUUAGUCUACUAUCUUUUGUUCACCUCUUAAGGGUAUAUUUAAAAUAAAGUGAGUUAGUUUGGGUACGUUGUUUUAUAUUUUAUUUUUUAAAAUAGGGCUCAGGCAGCUCUUACCAUUGCAGCUAGACCUUGGCUGUACCCUUGGUAUAUUGGUAUAUUUAUGGGGUAUAUUUUAUAUACAAACUGAAUUGUGAAUGCCAAUGCGGGAUUUUACUGCCUUGCUGCCAAAGUUGCUUAUUUAUUCUGGCUGCAUGAUUCGUGAAGUUUUUUUUUUAAUUUAUUUAUUUAACUUCAAUUAUUUUCUCAGCUUUAUUUGAAACACAACUAGAAAAGAAUAUCUACCUGUUUUUUAUUUUUCAGUUCUUGAGGUAACUUAAUGUGUAAAUGCUUCUACUUUGAAGAGUAACUAAGUAAGGAUAAUUUACUUGAAUUUCCUGUCCAUUUUAGUGCGAGAAACUAUGGUUUGGGAAAGCACACAUACCUCGUUUAGCUCUAAUCAAGGGGUUACCAAAGUUGGCCGCAUAUUCGUUGUCUGUAAUGGAUGGCAAACGUGUGAGUGCUUCUCCCAUCUCUCUUUUCAUUCGCUCACUUUUUAUAUACACGUGCGCACGAGCUUUCACUAACUAUUCUGUUCUUCAUUUGUAUGAUUCUGGUAGACUCAUAUCACUAAAGAAGACCUUUGUGAUCAUGUUUGGGAGCUUCAUUUUAAUUAGGUAUGUAAUUUUAGUAUGGUGCUUGUUAUACAUUAUUAAGAGAGUCUGCUACUCCACUGUUCCUGAUGGCCACAGGGUUGGUGCCUUGGUGGUACAAGACCCCUGCUUGUAUGCGUCUAGAAUGAACUACUGCUGGGUUUGCCAAAUACUUUCUAAAUAUAGAAUAACUAUCCAAUGAGAAAGCUCGAUCAAACUCAAAGACAUGAAUAAUCACAUAUUUUAAUGUUGUGUUCUCUUUGCAUCCUAAGAACUCAUCUUCGGCUUUGUUUAGGCAAUAUUUAUUUGAAUUUUAGUUCGACCCAUAAUAUUUUUGGUCCAACAGUGUUAACUUAGUUUUUCAUUUUUGAAAUGUAAAGAAAAUAUAUGAAAUUUUCUCAAAUUAUCAGUGUAAUUAGAUUUCUCAUUAAAAGUUAAUAAUAAACAAAAGUAAUUAAAAACACGGUCAGCUGUUAAUACUUAUGUAACUUACACUGAUCCCAAUAUAUAUACGGCGGACAUGUUCGGCCGUUAGGCAAACAGUUUUUGUUUCCUCUCAAUUAGUUGGGAAAAACUAUAAACGAAAGAGCGAGACAGAGAAUAUUGAAGCAAAACCAUCCAUCCAAUUACACUACCAAACAAGAGUGAAGAGCCUUUAUUGUUAAAAUGUGAAUUGCUUAAAUAAAAACCUUAGUUUGCAUGAAUUUUAUGUGUGUGUGUGUGUAUAUAUAUGUAUAAUUCUUCUUUAGUACGGGUGUGGUUCAAUAAAGUUAGUGCAUAACGUUAUUAAACCGCACAACGUAAGAGCAUGUUCGCAUUAAAACAAAUGAAGGCAUCCGCGCCUGAAAAUGAUUACGUGUGUGUGUGUGAGUGUAUGUAUGUAUAUAUCUUUUAAUUUAUUCAACUUAUAAGGAUAUAAUAGUGAGCUAUCACAGACAAUUACACAAAUAUUUAGACGAAUGUACAGAUAAACGAAUAAUUGAUUUCUCAUGCCGACGUAUUAGGAAAAAUAUCAGUAUACUAAAGUAUCACGUAAUGAUUUAUACACAUCUUUUUAACAUGUACACAAUCAAUUCAGAUGUCGCUAAGGGAUUUUUGUUCUUGCUAGGUAAAUUAUAAAUUUACUCCCAGAAGAUUGAUUAAAUACAUAUAAUUUAGGUUCAAAAUACAACCAGCAAUGUAACUGAUCAACAUUAGAAAAUGAUUCAUGGUCUCCUAUUUGCCAAAUCUUACCCACGCAGGUACCAAAUCUGAAAGAUGAACACAUCAGCAACAGAAAACACAACCACCCCAUAGGGUGGAAUAAAAUAAAUAAAUAAAUAAAUAAACCUGAAAGUAUACAUACAACUUGAUCUAGACAUUGUAUUAAAGAUGUUCCCAGUAGAGCUUGAGCAUGUUGGAUGCAUGAUAAUGGAGAUGCUCUUUAAUAGAGUCUCGGAUGCAUUGUGAUCUUCUUAUCAGAUUAUCUAUAGAUUGAUCUCCAAGUCUGUUAUGGACUAGUUGUUGUACUAUUAUGUUGUUGUUGGUGUGAAAUUAUAUCCCUGUGAGAAAAAAAAAAAAAAAAAAAAUUUCUAGCACAUUUGUAUUCACCCGUUGGUAUUAAUGACAUUAAUGCUUUUUACACAAGUAAGAGGGGGGCAAGAGAGAUCUGCUAGAAAGAAUAAUAUAUUUACAUGACGAGUCUAGCUACGUUGUGUCGGACGAUGCCUUACAUGACACAUAUGUAAUAGACACCUGAACUCUAUAAUUCUCGUAUUGGAAGCAAAUCUCCUUUAAAUUUAUAAUAUAUUAUAAACACAACUAACAAAAUUUUAUACAAUCCAUUUAGCAACACAUGAACACAACAUGAAAAAAUAGAUUUAGAUUAUUAAAUUUGACACAAUUAUUAAAUAGGUUGUGUUAUUCUAUUUCAUAAAAUUUGACCCAUCUACUCAAUUAAUGAAAUGAUUACUACGAAGGAUAAACAUUUAUGUGCUAUUCUAUUUCAUAAAAUUCUAGAUGGAUUUAAAACUUGAAUGGUGUAAAUAUGUAAUAUUUCAAUAGAUAUGUAUAUUUUUAUGAUAUCGAUAUAUAAUAUUAUUUAAAUAUAUAAAAAUUGUAAAAUUUUUAUCAAAUAGGGGCAAAAAUGAUUGAUAUAAAUCAUGUUAAAUGAGUAUUAAUUAAAUGGAUUAUUAAGUAAGUCAUGACACAAUUAUUAAUUAAUGAGUUACGUUGUGUCAAUUGUUUAUUUUGCAUAUCAAACUUGAAAUUUUAAUAUUUAAUACAAUUAUUAAAUAAAUAUCUAAAUUACUCUAAUGAUAUUUUAAAUUUCACAUGGCAACGAAAACCACUUUGUCAUCGGUUUUGCCACCUCUAAAUUAUCACAAUAAAUAACCAAGUCAUGGACUUGCUGUUUUGCCAAGCAAUCACUCAGUAUCUUGCCACGUAUUUGAGUCAGAGGUCAAACCCCCGAUUUUCGUCCUUCAAUUGAAGGAUGAUUUUGUUUUGGAGCUCGGCGUGGCAAGAAUGCAUUAUCGGACCAUUAUAAACUAACAAAGUUGAAUAAUAAAUCAAGUGAUAAUCGAUAAAAUCGAGUAAAAUAAUAAGUCAAAAAGUACUAGUUUUUUAACCUACAGGCCUGUAGUUCAAUAAUAUCUACGAGAGAAUGAGUUUGAGCCACGUAAAAUUUAUUAUAUUUAAAAAAUAGUAAAUUUGUCGAACAGUAUUUUUCUACAUACAAUAAAUAAUUUUUUUUAAAAUUAAAUAUGGGCAUUUUAGCUUUAACAUAUUUUUAUAUUUUCAUGUUAUUUGGAGCGUAUUUAUUGCAAUUACCUCGUUUUCGCGGCUUCGGGUGAUUCGCUUGCUCUGUCUACUACCACACAGAAUGGAACUGCGAGAAAGAGAAGAACAGGAAAACGAUGUCGUUUUACCGAAGAAGAAGAAGACGAAGAUGAAACUGAUAAAGGAGAGAAAGCGAGAGGAAAGAAAAGAAAAACUCGAAGAAGAAGAAACUGAAGAAUUAUUGCAGGACCCACUGGAGGCUUUUGGUAGAGACAUAAUGUUGAUGAUACUUCAAAACCUAAAAGCACACAGCGUAGCACUGACUCUCCUUGUAUCCCGUGCUUGGAACGGCGUCGCUUCAAGCGACACGCUUUGGACUCCCAAGGUUCAUUUCCUUUCCUAUUCUUUCUUUUUUUUCCCCAAUCUUGUUGCCUCGUACCUGAAUUUAGGUUUGUUUCUUUUGUUUUAAAUUUAAUUAAUUAAUUUAGUGCUUUCUUCGGAGAACAUGAGAAUUGGGUUUUUUUAGUUUCACAAUUGGGUUUUUGUUUUAAGUGUUUUUGGUUGUUUGAAAUAAUCAUAUCAUGAAUACAAUUGAAUUUGAAUUUAAGCUUUUCAUGUCAUCAUCGAGUUUUAUGUUCCUAGUUUACAGGAAUUUGUAUUCAGCGCUGAGCUGGGGUUUUUGUUAAUCUUUUAGAAAGACAAGAAUAUAAAAUUAAUUAAAUCUUCACCUUAAAUUGCUAUACAUGCAUGUGUGGUAGAUGAUUAUGAAGAGAUGAGCACAGCUAAGCUCAGUACUGGAUGUAAAUCCAGCUUACAGGAUUUCUUGUCCGUCAGGAGCAUUAUAUGAAUACUGGACUUAUUAUUUGACUCAAUUUACUACUCGACUUGGCUUUCUUGACCAACUUGAAUUCGUCUGAGUAUUCUCGAUUUAAACUGAAUAUUAUUUGUCUAGUAUCUAUUUGUCUUUGUUCACCCCUUAAGGGUAUAUCUAUGUAAAGUGACUUAGUUGGGGUAUAUUGUUGGUAUAUUUUAUUUUUUUAAAUCCUGGGCCCUAGGAAGCCCUUUCUUAUCAUUGAAACUAGACAUUGGCUAAAUUAUUGGUUUAUUUAAAGGAUUGAGGUAUAUUUUUAUAUAAAACCAAACUGAAUUUAGGGGUGGUAAAAUCCUCCACGGGUUUGGGGCCCCAUGGAGCCCCACCCCAAAUGGGGAAAUUUUUUAAUAAUUUUUGGAGAAUGGGGUGGGGAGUGGGGGACACGUAAUCCCCAAAUUGUUAACGGGGUGGGGUUUGGUAUUGCACUCCCCACCCUACCCCCACCCCAAUUCCUAUUAUAUAUAAAUAUGUUUUUAAUUCUUAUUUAAUAAUUUGUAUUUUAUCAACUAUAAUGUCAAUUAAUAAUUUUUUUUAAUUUUUAUGUAAUAUAAAUAGAAUAUGAAUAAAAGAAAAUUCUACAAUAUUUUUCAAUUUUAAAACAUUAAUAUAUUUUAUUUCUCUUUUAAGGUACUGCUUUCUUUAAAUAUUUUUCACUUUUAAUAUCAUUUUAAGAUAUUGUUUCAAAUUUUUAGAGAUUUUUUUUAAAAAUUAAAUACUUUAUAAUAUUGUGAUGAUUUUAUCUUAAGUCUCUAAUUUUUAAUUUAUUGAAAUCAUAUUUUUAUAUCUACUAUAAAAUAUGUAAAUGGGGAAUGGGGUGGGGAUGGGGGAAUCAUUCCCCACGUGGGGAUUCCCCAUCCCCAACCCACUAAAUUUAUUGGGGAAUGAGGUGGGGAAUGGAGGCAAAAAUUUUUAAUGGGGUGGAGAAUGGGGUAGGCAUCCCCACCCCCACCCCGCCCCAUUGCCAUCCCUAACUGAAUUGUGAAUGCCGUUUUUACUGCCUUAUGGCCUAAGUUGCUUAUUCGUUCUGAUUGCAUGAUGUGAAGAAUUUUUUUUUUUUUAACUUCAAUUAUUUUCUCUGCUUUAUUUGAAACCUAAUCGGAAGAGAAUAUCUACCUUUUUUUAUUUUUUUCAGUUCUCCAGGUAACUUAAUGGGUCAUGCUUCUACUUUGAAGAGUAACUGAGUAAGGAUAAUUUACUUGAGUUUCCUGUCUAUUUUAGUGCGAGGAACUGUGGUUGGGGAAAGCGCACAUACCUCGUUCAGCUGUAGUCCAGGGGUUACCAAAGCUGGCCGCAUAUUCGUUGUCUGUCACAGAUGGCAAACGUGUGAGUGCUGAUCAAUCUCCCUUUGUUCUCCUGUCUCUCUUUUGAAUCAGUCACUUUCCAUAUGCACGUUUGACCAAGCUAUCACCAACUAUUCUGUUCUUUUUUAAAAAAAAAUUUCUUAGACUCAUAUCAUGACAGAAGACCUUUGUGAUCAUGUUUGGGAGUUUCAUUUUAACAAGGUAUGUAAUUUUAUUGCAGUGCUUCUCAUACGUUAUUAAUUAUUAGUAAGGUCUGGUGAGUGGUGACUCGCCUCUUGAUUUCAGUCUGGCCUUGACGUGGUGCCAAAAUUACUAGAACUUGCAUGAGUUUGAAAUGUGAACAUAUAAAACAUUAAUGUUUUGACGCUUUAAAAGUUUGAUCAUGUGUAGCCUUGGUAAUGAAAUUUCGGUCCAUGAGGAACGAAACUCAUGAAUUAUAAUCUGCCUAUUUGUAAGGCAUUGCUCAUAAUUCAGGCACUCACUAAUGUAACUAUUCCCUGGACUGGUCACAAGUAAAUGAUAAUCCUGGUAAUCCUAUAUUCAAACAUUUCUUAGCAUGCAUCCAAGCAUCCAAGGCGUUCGUGGUGUGUCCUUUCCUUUACUCUGCAGCUUUCUACUAUUUUGUUGGAAACUGAAAUGAUCAAUUGAUCGGAUGACUGCCUUUGAAUGCCAUUUUGCCUUCAGGUGGUACCAGAGUAUUGGCUUAAUCUCGAUCCCUACUGGAAGGGUACUAGCCCUCUAAUGCACCGUUACUUUCAUGAAGAUGGGAGUCAAACUGCAGAUCCUGGUGACGAAGUAUGGGGCGGGCAUGAAUGCUGUUACUCUAUAGUUACCAGUGUUGUUGGUGAAGGAAAGAUUAGGGAGCACUAUGUUAGAAUAAACCGCUGCUGGCUGCAUAUGCUUGUCUCUAGGAAGGACUGGAGCUGGGAAAUGUCGAAUGUCCUGUACUGCUACUCCAGUGUUCCUGAUGGCCACAGGGUUGGUGGUACAGGACCCCUGCUUCUAUGUGUCUAGAAUGAAGUGCUGCCGGGUUCGCCAAAUAGAUAUAGAAUAACUUUCCAAUGAGAAAGCUUGACUAAAGUAAAUGACAGGAAGAAACACAUACUCCAAUGUAGUGUUUACUGCCGUUUUAUCAAUUGACUUUUUCUUUAUCUCUUUUAAUAGGGUCCAGCUACAUUGCGUCAGAGGUUUGGUACCCCAGUCAUUUGUCCUUUUGCAAAUGACCCUUUAGAUCGUAAAGAAAGGUAAUCAACGGCUGAGGUUUAACACUUAGAAAAUGGGUAACCGGCUUUAGCUACAAUCUCAGUAAAAGGAAAACAAAAAGGACGUAUAUAAUCCUUUGCUCCAGAAGGCUCUAGACUUCGUCAAUGAGCCAAACAGAGACAGCCGUUUGCUCCAGAAACUCCCCCUCUUGUGCCUCCAUGGCGACGCCGUUACCGCCUCCGUCACCAUCCUCUCCGACGCAAGACUCCGCUCGAAUCCGAACAAAUACGACCGCUUCAGCAAAAAAUCACAGUCGUUGAACCUCUCCUCCGAGUUGAAGUUCCUGUUGUUAAUCGCCACCGCCACGUCAUCAACGCACGGUGUGAUUUCAGAACCGUUCGUGGAGGCAGCCGUCGUCGUCGGCAUUUGGAUUUUCAAAUAAAGACUCAAGGGACACAGUCACGAGUCGUAGCAAUGAGCUGUCAUCGAGACUCGAUCGGAUUCUCACCGCCAUUAUGGGAACAAACGGAGACUCGGUCAGAAAACAUCCAUCUACCAAAUUAGUUAGGCAAUUUGGAUUUCUGAUUUUGUUUUUGUUUUCAUACACACUCAUCCGGCACAGACGACGGACCACCGCCACGUGAUCGAGAUCUCCGUUGCCAUCACCAACAGUCACGCGAUAGCCGACACUCACAAAGAGAUGGAAUUAGUUACAUAUGCCAUUCUUAUUGUGGAUUUCAAAAUGAAUUACUUCGUUGGGGGUCAAGUGGGUUGAAUGGUGGAAAUUGUUGGUCAAUAAAGGAAGAUGAAAAAUUUAUGGAAUAUGUAGACGAUUCCCUGCUUCAGUUCUGCAAGCGUAAGGUUUUUUUGCCGAAAUUGAGAGUAUUCCUGACUCUUCUAGAUGUUAAAGUAUCAGCUCGUAUGACUGGUGAAUGGAUUGGGAUUGGCCAUUGAGAAGAUGGUAAAAGAUUUAGGUUUUGAAGUCAUAAGUGAAAAUACUGUGUAUACUGUGUGUAAAUGAUCAGAUGGUCUGAUGGCUUACUGGUGAAUGCUCCUUGCUUGAAGAUUUGUUUUGUUAUGAUUGUUGGGACUUGAAGCAUUUGUGUGUCUCAAGGGCUGUCAAACUCAAGGUUAUAUGAAUUAGAUUAUUUGUUGAGGAAAUUGAAACUCUAGAAAUUAUUGUUCUAAGUUUUCAGCAAUUAACAAUUCUCUUUCCGGGGGGAGGAAAGACCAUGCCUAAUUGAGUAGUUAAGUCUGCACAUUUUAAAAGUGAAGCUGAAUUCGAUAUAGUUUAUUGAUGAAGAGUUUUAUCACCUUAUCUCGAACUUACACUUUCUUGAGGAUCUCUUGUUAAGUUUCUGUUGUUUGCCUGAAAGAUUAAGAUUUCUUCUAGCAAUGAGCUAAAGAAUUUACAAUUUUAUACCUGUGAAAAUUUAAAGCUAAUUGAUGUUGAUAUAUAAAUUUACAAAUGCUCAUGAUUUAGCUCACAAAUUAAAAUGAAAUAGCUCAAGAUUUAUAAAUUUAAAAUCAAACUGCUCACGAUUUUAAAAACAAUCACUAAAUGUAGGAAGAAUAAGAUCAAAACUAAUGCUUGCGGGGGAAAUUGAAACUCUAGAAAUUGUUGUUCCAAAUUUUCAGCAGUUAACAUUUCUCUUUCUCGGGGGGAGGAAAGACCAUGCGUAAUUGAGUAGUUAGGUCUGCACAUUUUAAACGACCAUGGCAUUUUGCAGUUUGGAAGCUCUGGGGUUUUGCAGUUUGUAGUCUGCAGAUUGGAAGUUCUGAGCGGAGUGUUGUAGUUCAGGCGCAAAAAGAAGGACAAAGAGAAUGCUCACAUGCUGCACAGCUGGAAUUAAAAGGAAAGCAACCAGAGCAAAACGCACCGUACAACUGGAAUUAAAAGGAAAAGCAAAGCAAACACACCGUUUCUGGCAAUAUUCGGGACGCGGAUUCGGGGUUAAAGUCGGAAUAAAUAGUUUUUUCCUAAUAACUUACAUUAAUAGAUUAUGGGAGAAUAUCCCAUCAAUUUUUAUUUUUUUCAUAUUAACUCACUUUUAUGGCUUCUAACCUAACCCUUUUAUCUUCUCUUAUUAACAUAAGACAAUAAACUACUCUAAAAUAUUUAUCUAGGGGUCUUUUUUUGAAAAAAAUAUUAUUUUCACCUUAUAAUUUUGUAUACCUAAACUAUAUUAUUCUUACUUUACUUAUUCCUCCAUACCAAACACUAUAUUGGACUUAAAUUUUACUAAUUUAAGCCAAUCCCACCAUCUUUAAUUGCAUUCACUAGCUCGUAAUUGUUUCGAUCUUCUUAUGUAAAGUAAGCUGCAACUCCUUUCUCAUAACAGUGGUUACAAAAAAUGCAUUAACACAUUAGCUUUCUCUUACGCCAGUGCUAAUAUUAUUUAUAUAAUUUUUUUUAUUGCUAAAGAAAAUUUGCUAACCUAUGUGCCUAGAAGAUUGAUGGGUAGAGGGACAUUUGGCAUGCCGUGGGUUAUAAUUUUCAUAUUGAUGUCGACUUUCGUUCCAAUCACAUCCUAGUGUCUGAUGGGUAUUGUUCAUCACUUCCCGAGGGGCAGCUGUUACUAGACAACAUAAAGAGGGCUUCAUUCUUGUCAUUGGCCACCAAUAUUGUUGAUCUUUGUUAUUAAUUAAGUGUACUUAUUCAUUUAAUUUGGAUAUGCUGGUUCAUGUCCCCCUCCACAUGUUGGUUAUCUUUUACUUAUCGGGUGGGGGGUCUAUGUCUAUCUCCUCCCCCCCUCCCCCCCCCCCCCCCCCCCCAACCUAUCUGGUGCUGGUGGUUUAAAAUUAGAAAAAGGAAAUGGAAAUUGUGGCUACAAGACUAUUUGAUUAUUAUUAUUAUAUUAGGAGAAUUAUAUGCUUUAUACUUAAUAAAUUAAGAUUUACAAUAUAAGAUACUGACUAAAAGAGAUGCAUAUAUACAACACAAUUUUUUUCGUACACUAAAACUAUUGUUUUUAUUUCGCACUUAUUACUUUAAACUCUUUACCGAAACAAACAGGGACUAUUGAAUAACAUGUUAAAUAAUUUUAUUAAUUUUUUAAUUAUUAUAAUUUAAUUGGGUCUUAUUCCAUAACAAACUAUAAAACUCAUAGUUUCUAUUACUUACAACAAACAAUAGAGACUGUCAAAGAAAAUAGUUAAAAUAGAGUGUCAAAGAUAUUUUUCUCUUUCUUUUUCCCUCUUUUAACUGAUCCGUCAUCUCAAAAAAGCCUCAAUUUUUUGGUUGAUGAUUUAUUAUUAUUAUUAUUAUUAUUACGUAAAUUAUCAUCGUUGUCGUCGUCGUCAUAAUUAUAAUAUUAAGCAUUAUUAGUUUAUUAUUAUUAUUAUUAUUAUUAUUGUUCAAAAUUGGAAAUGACAUGGCUUAUUAUUUAAACUCCAAGGAUAAAAUUAAAAUUAAAUAUUAUUCGGGUUAAAGGGAAAUUUUCCCUUUUUUUCCCCACCAAUUACUUUUGCAAUGCAUCGCCUGAUCACUUAUUAUUAUUAUUAUUAUUAUUAUUAUUAUUAUUAUUAUUAUUAUUAUUAUUAUUUUGUGAAUGACGUGGCCUACUAUUUAAACUACAUGCAUAAAAAUUAAAUUAAUUCUUACUUCAAAUCUCAGGAUUAUGGAAUUUUCCCCUUUUUUCCCCCCACCAAUUACUUUUUCCCAAUUUUCCAUUUCCGCCAAAGACCUCAACCCAGACUUGCACGCUUCCACCAAAUUGUUUUGAACCAUUACUUGCAUUCACUUGGCGUUUGUUUCAAUACAUGUCUUCGUAACUCACGUGGCAACCAUUAAAUGGCUACUUUUGUCAACUUCUUUUUUCCCCUCUAUGUUACUGGGCCCUUACCUUCUUGUCCGGUUAAAUGCAAUCGACUCUGUGUCACUUCUUCAGCCGUGAGAUUAUAUCCAAUGGCUGAUUCACUAUAGGACAAGCGACUGGGGUACCAAACCCCUGACGCAAAUUAGCUAUGCCCCUUUUAAUAAUAUGAGGCUUCUCAUCGGAAGUCCUUUGUUGGAAAAGGUCAUAAGUGGUAAUUGGUACUUCGUUAUUUUGCGGAAUAAAAUAGUUACGAAGUGUUUUUGGAUAUGCAAUGGACUUUACUGAUAAGUUUUUUAGCUCAUGUGCAUGAUCCAUGUGGUUGCUUCCCUCAACAUAAACAUAUUUAUAGAGGUUUUUUUUAAUCUUUUUAUUUUUUAAAAAAAUUGGGGUGCAGACAAAGUUUAAAUUAAUAUUUUUUAACUCUUAUUUUUGCGGAACCCAAAUUAUAGAUUUUUUUCCUUUUUUUAAUUUUCUAAAAAGGUUAAGUUGUGGUUAAAAUUUAAAUUAAUGUUGCGCAUAUAAUUAGGUUCGGCAACUUAGUCUUUCUCAUGAGAGCUUGCACAAGGAUUUUUUAUAAGAGUUUAAAAAAAAAAGUUUAUAUCAGAUUUGAUCCUCUUUUUUUUCUUAAUAUAACUUUAAAUUAAAAUAUAAAAAUAAUAAAAAAAGAAUUGAAAAUUUAAAUCCCUAAUUCAUAAAUUAAUGAUGAGUAAAAAAUAUAAAAUUAUAAUAUUAAACUAUGUCUUAAGUUUCAAUUAAUUAAAGGAUUUUUAAAUUAGAUAAUUCAAUAUUAAAAAAUUAAAUCUAUAAAUUUUUAUUUAUUAUUUUAUUUUAAAUGGUUAAUUUCUUUAAUUGAAUGUUAUUAUUAAUUUAUUACAAAUUUAUAAUGAUUUAAAAAUUUAUUACAAAUUUACAUGGGUAUCAUUACCACGAAUUUAGCAUUACCAACAUUUAUUGAAUGACCAUGCAUUUGGUUUGGAUUGUAAUUCAGAAUUGGUAGUAUUGCAUUGUGAGUGAGAAGGUAAUAAAUAGCUACAAAUUUGGUAGAAGAUAUGGGAUUGUUGAAUGUAUUUUCUGCCAUAAUGAUUUUCAAAUAAUUAUAUUUAAUUGGUCACUAAAUUCAAAUCCUAGAGGGUGGUGGUAGAUAAAAAUUCAAUUUGAAUUAUAAUUUUAUUUAUCUUUUGGCUCUGUACACUCAGAAAUGGAUUAUCGUGCGAUUCAAAAAUUAUUUGAAAAAAGGAAGUCUGAUCAAAGAAACAGACCAAUAUUUGUAGACUCCAAUUCAUUACGCUGCAUAUCAUAAUCAAUAUCAACAGAUAUAUGUGCUAUUAGAAAUUGAUCCAACUGCUUCAAACAUUUUUGACAAAGAUCAAAAGAUGACAGCUCUUCAUUUGGCAGCGGGCCGAGGGCUUGCUAAAGCAAAUGAAAGAAUUCUUUCUCUUGCAGCAAAAUGUUAUGAACUGUUCGAUAACAGGGGAUGGAAUUUUUUUCAUUAUGCAAUGGUCAGUUUUUUUUUUUUUUAUGAUUUAAAAACUUUCCUAAAAAAUCCGUUAUCGAGGAGUCUUAUAAAUGAGGGGGAUGCCAAGGAGAACUCUAUAUUAUUAGGAAGACUCAAGCCAAUGAUCACUAUGUCAACGAGCAAAAUGUUUUUGGUAGACACCUUUUGAAAUAUGGCUAUCCUACGCUCUAAGGUAAUUAAUUUGUUAAUUCUUUCAACUUAUAAUCCAGCUUUCUUUUUCAUUACUUUAUUUCUUUUUUUUUUUUUCUUUUUUUGAGUGGGACUAUUAGCACCCCUCUAAAUAUCUCUUAACACCCCUUUUCUUAAUUAACCCCAUUAAAUGUUUUAAAAAAAUUAAAUAAUUCUUUGAACACCUCCAUUAAUAAUAAAAAUACCCUUAAUUAAAACUUAUUGUGUAAACCCCAUUCUCUAAUUUUUAUUAUUAAACCUCAUUUCAAUAAUAGGGUCUCUCCUAUUUAAAGAAAAAAUAAUAGGUUUUUAUUCUCUCCAUAGUAGCUAUCGGUGGUAAAUUCCUUACUCGAAAAUUAAAGGAAAAAGCAACCUUUUUAAUUUCUAAAAUUUUAGAUUUUAUAAGGAAAAAAAAAAUUAUUUGACUUUUGAGUGGAGAUUUUCUUAGAAAUUGGCCUAUUAUGUAAUUUUAAUAAAGGUUAAAAUCGUAAAAUACUUAAAGGAAUUUUAAGAGCUAUUUGGAGGGGUGCUAAUAGUCCUACUCUUUUUUCUUUUUUUCAGUUUAUGCAAUUAAUUCAUAUUCAAAUUCAAAUUACAGGAGAAAAUCCAAAAGUUGCCCAAAGAUGUUGGCAGAGGACAAUAUCCAGACAGUGCCAUAUUCAUAAGAACAGUGCUAUAUUGCUAAGACCAGAUCCAAAUGCAGUGGCACGUGCUGUGUUUACUUGACAGGGCUAGUCCGAAUAAUUAUUCAACAUGCCUUAAAAUUUUAUGGUUUUUUUUUAUUUUUUAAAUCAUUUUUUCUCAAGUAUGUCCUUAAAUCAAUCUUUAUUAAAAUAAAUAAAAUAAUAUUUAUAGUUAAGUUAUUCUUUUUUGGAACCUUUAAAAUUCAAAAUUAAAAAUAGUAAUUUAUCUUUUUAAUUACUUUCUUUAGAGCAAGUUUCUCGAUGUUGCAAUAUCUUUUGAAUAUUUUUUUUGUUACGUUCACACAAACAUAUACAAUAAUUUCAUAAAUUCAUAAUCUAACCCUGCCUGGUCAAAAGAUUAUCUUGACGAUCCUAAAUAUGAUUACAAAGAUAUGACAGCGUCCGAUGUUGUAGUAUAGUGAAAAUUACCCUUUAGGACAAUGCUUUGCACCCCCCUUGAGGAAUUUUCUCUGAGUUCGUAUUCGUUGGUCGGAUAACAAAUUCUUAGUUGUAGGAAGCAACUAUUUGGUUUCCGGCUGCAGCCACAAGGUUAUGAUUGUAACUUUCUUUUUUAAAUAACAAAGAAUACUGUUGUCAAGCUAUUGUCCAUCACCGUUGAGUUUUUUGAUGGGUGUUGUUGUUCCGGCUGAGCUGAUCCUUCAAAAAGUUAUUUUGCCUCAUAUUUCCAACGUAAAUGGCCCAACAAAUUUGUGUCAUUCUGUAUAUUUAUUAAUAUGAAUACGUUUCGUAAUUGUGCAACUUAUCUUUCUGUCUUAGUUGAUAUGUUAAAAAAAUUAACCGGAGAAAAAGAAGAUCUAACAUUUUUUUCUGGUCAAGGCAGCUGCUUCUCGAAAAAAUACUGUCGCUGAUAUCUUAGGUUUCUCGGAAGGCUCUUUUCCUUUUGUUUAUCUUGGAGUUCCAAUUUUCAAGGGUUGUAUUUUUUCCAUUGAAAACACUACAACGUUUUGCCUUUGUUUUUCUCAGCGGUCUCUCACCCCACGAUUGAUUGAACAUUUCUCUUACCAAUUAAAAGAGUAAGUAAACAUUAAUUAAAAAAUUAUCCAGGUCAGCAAAAUGUCAACAGAUAGAUGCACAAAAACUCUAUUCGCCUCCAGAUAAACUUGUAGCAUUUAGAUGCAACCCUUAAAUAAUAAAGUUACUGCUUUCAAGUCGUUGUUCAACACCAUUGUGUUUGCUGAUUGGUACCAUUGUUCUGACUGAUUGAAGCUUUUAACGAAACUAUAUUGAAUCAUAUCAAAUGGACCCUGAUUUCACAGCUGCAGUUAAAAUACUGAACCUUUCAAGGAUAUGGGAAGAGAUGUAACUUUGAACUAGAGGCGUCAGUGGACUUGACACAGCUGAAUGUGUAAAUAUAUUUUGCACAAACUAAACAAUUGUAAAACUUUGAAGUUGUAGGAUGGGAAUUGCAUAAUAAGAUUGUCUCACUGGAACCAUUGUGAUGCUCGUAUUAAAAAGCUAAAGGGAAGAAAAAAAUGAUUUUCAUUCAUUCUUUAUUGUCUAUUUUACGAUGAUAUAAAUACAUAAGCUAUUGUAAUAAUUAUAAAAGAAAGUCAAAGGAAAAAUAAAUAAAGAAGGGUAGUAGUUAUCUGGUGAGAAGAAAAUAAAUGAAAAAGAGUAGUAGGUGUCCGUAGGAAAAAAAUAAAUAAAGUGGAGAGGAAAAUAAAUGAAAAAGAGUAGUAGGUGUCAAUAGGAAGAAAAUAAAUGAAGUGGGGGGUGGUGGCAAUUAUUAUGUCUAUUUUAAAAAUCAUCAUUGCAUCUCAAUAGUCAUCAUUGCAUGUUUUUUACAUGUACCCUGUAGUUAUUAUGCUUGCCUACCAAUAGUGUGAAUCAAUUAAAGGUUGGUGGAGGAAUAAAGAACAUAUGUUAAACUAAGGUAAGAAUUUCCAUAUACAUAAAUAAUAGUUAAUUAAUUAAGUGAUUUUAAAUCACUUAGAUGUUUUUCUGUCAUACAAAACGUAUAAACGUCUAUAAUUAGUACAUGAAUGACAUAUUCCAUAUAGUAUCAUUUAGGAAGUGAUUUAACAAGUAACAAGAGGGCUAAGAGGCAACGUUGAAUCACUUUUCUUUUGUAGAAUUAAUGAACUAUCAAUUGUACUCAUAGAGGAUUCCCCUAUUAUUUUAUUGUUUGCAGUCACUUAAGAGUCACUUGAUUCUUUACCCAACAAACAAAAAGAGCAGAACUGUAUAUGGAAUCCGAUCGAAAUGUGAUAAGGAAGGCUGCAGUAUUUAAAGAUUGAGGAUAUGGCGAUGCAGACUUUUUCAAUGUUAAGGACAAAACAAAAGAAGAAACCAUGGUCAACUUUAAUAAUUAAUUGGUAUAUAUAUUUUUUUGUCUGAGUUCUUGAAAAUAUUGCGCCACAGUUUAAUAAUUAUUAAUUAAACAUAAAGCACCCACAGUUGAGAAAUUGAAUAGUUUGCCAAAGAGAAUGACUAAUCUCAAUUUAUCUUAUUUGUUUAACUAAAAGAGCAUGAGGAAGAAAUCAAGGUUAAAAUUUAAAAAUGUUGAUUCUUGGCUUGUCAAAAGAGUGAGAAUUAAUGUCGAUACUUUUAACUGUCUGUUUGUUUCUUUUUCGUUUCCGAUAAUACUUCCCUGUUGUUGGCCCUCUUUGUUUCUUUCUUCAAUAUUUUCUACUCGGCCCAUUGAGCCCAUAAUUUCCUGUGCUGCUAUCAACUUGUUUUCCCGCUUUUUUCCUUUCAUUUUUCCCUCCACAAUUAGGGAUGGCAAAAUCCGGGUCCGGUUCCGGGUUCGGCCUUCCCGGUUCCGAACCCGGAUGUCAUUUUCUUUUUACCGGACCCGCAUAUAACCCGGAUUUUUUACAUGCGGAUCUGGUCCGGGUUCAACCCGGAAAAAUUAAGGGUUCCGGAUUCCGGGUUUGAAACCCGGAUUGUCUUUUGAAUUAUGAUUAAAAAAUAAAAAAAAAAAAUUAGAAACUACAAUUCAAUCACAAAUUAAAACCGAUUAACCUUUUUUUUCCGUGAAAUUCAGGCAGGUACACAAGAUAGAUCUUAAUAUGAAGGCGUUGCAAAUACUACCAACAAAAUUCAAUAAAUUAAUAACCUAAUAUAGGAAGUGGAUGCACGAAAAUUACAAUUAAUUUUGAAUUGUAAUGGCAUCAAAGACCGUGGCCCACCCAAAUCCACCAUGCAAUGCCAUCAAAGACAGCCCCCACCAUGGAAUAUGACAAACGAGAAGCACAGGCGGGCUUAGAGGUGGAAGCUAAUCCAGGCGAUUUUGCAAGAGUUGAACGAUUGAGAAUGAAUGGUGGUCGCAGCAGUGCAGAGAAGAGGAACACAGUAACUGAUGAUGAUAAUGAACACAGAGAAGAGAAAAUGGCCGAAGUGAUGACGACGACGACUUGAUUUGAUGAAGAGAAAAGGAAAUAUGGUUGGCGGCCGGCGGAUGUGAGAUUUGAGAAGAGGAAUGCGAAUUGCAAAAUUAGGGCCGGCUGUGCGCAUUAUUAUUUCCUUCCUUUCUUUUCUAUUUAUAUUAAAAAUUAUUAAAAAUUUAAUAUUAAAAUGAAAGAUAUCCGGGUCCGGGUUUCGGAUAUGCGGGUUCACCUAAACCCUGACCCGAACCGGAUAUCAUCCGGGUUCAUAAAAUUAAAUCUGGAUCCGUAUUUUAUAUAACUGCAAUACGGAUUCAACCCGGACCGGAUUAUCCUGAUUCGUCCGGGUCCGGAUUAUUCUGCCAUCCCUAUCCACAAUGCUCUCUUCCCUAUGCAUCUGCUUCAUCUCUGUUUCACCUGCUAUCUUGCUACAGUCGAUCUUCUGCAAUCUCUCUCCAUUUAAUGCUCCCACACCUACUUCUUCCACCUGGCUACCUCUCAUUGGAUUUGAGCAAAUCGCCAUAUUAAUUUGGCUUGGCCCGGAACAGCCUCCACUCUCAUCCGGAUUGGCCCGACCCGUAUUUUUUCGGUGUCGUUACCCUGUCAAAAAAGCAAGAAUUUAAGACGUGUGAAAAAUACUACACUUUUCAAGUCAUAUAUACAUACAUGUAAGGUUUAGAGGAAGAUCUAUGAGUACCUCCGAGAUACUGGGUACCCUUAUCUAAUAGAUCAACUUCGCCGACAUGAAUUCUGUUUCCAAUGAGAUUGAGGAAGCUUCAUUAUUGGACAACAAUGGCGAGAUCAGUCAGUCGCAAAUAGACCCAAAUUUGUUCAAAGCCGCAGCUGCGGGAAAUUUGGAGCCCUUCAAAGAUAUGGCAAGAGAGGUAAUUGAGAGAUUGUUAACAGCAAAGACCAAAAACACAAUCCUGCAUAUCAAUAUCAUAUCCCAAGAAAGAGAAAACGUGUCAACGAAGUUUGUAGCAGAAAUACUUGAGAAAUGCCCAUCGCUGCUACUACAAGUUAAUGCCAAAGGCGAUACUCCACUUCACGUUGCGGCAAAAUUUGGCCAUUCUGAUAUAGUGAGGGUUCUUGUGGAAAGAGCAAAACUACCUCAACAUGAAAAUGAAGAGCUAGAGAGCAGGGUAGGAGCUGCCAGGCAGAUGAUUAGGAUGACAAAUAAUGAGAAGAAUACAGCACUCCACGAGGCAGUGUGUCACCAAAACGUCGAUGUGGUGGAAUUACUGACGAAAGAAGACCCUGAUUAUCAAUAUUCUGCAAAUAAUUACGGCAAAACGCCACUCUACAUGGCUGCUGAUUAUCGGUCUUCUAAUAUGGUGCUUGCCUUAUUUGUAAACAGCACAUCAGUGUCUCAUGAAGGCCCCAACAGAAAGACGGCUUUACAUGCUGCAGCAAUGGAAUUUCCUUUCGGUAAGUUUAGUUAUACCCUUUCAGUAGGAAUUUCAAUAUUGAUAUCUUUCUAUUAAUAGAUUCUUUCCAUAAUGUUCAAGUAAAUACACCCUUUUAAUUCAUUAAUAAAUUAUUAAUUGCCAUCAAUUUAAUCAGGAUAAAUUGUCAGAUAUAAUUUUCUGAAUAAUGACAAAAAUACUCUCAAUUUAUGAAGAAAUUAAGCGUUGUUAUGAAGGAGUUAAUUUUUCUACUGUGAAAUCUUCCUAAAAAAACUAGUCUUUAGAAUUGUAAAUGUACUGAAAAUUGGUCUUUUGGAUAACUAAGAUAGGGAAAGUUGGUUUUAGGAUAAUUAGAUUCACCGAAUUGGUCUUUAGAAUAGUGCUUCAAACGUGUCUUAGUGAAUUUUGCAAAAAUUGUUAUUUCUAGAUGCAAAAUCAGGGAAAUAAUUGCAAGUUUUUAUUUUGUUAAAUAACAAAGUUACCGAUCUGAAGCCAUUAUUCAUCACUCAUCGUGUGAUUGGUGUUGGCAUUGUUGUUCUAGACUUCUGGCUGAUUUGUAAUUUAAAAAAGCUAUUUUUUUUCUCAUAUCUCCAACAUAAAUAGCCCCCAAAUUUAGGCCAUUUCUAGAUAUUUACUUUUAUUAAAAAAUUUAAUUAUUAUUUUAUUUAUCUUCUGUAUUCUCAGUUGGUACUGCAUUACGAAAAUUACUUGAGAAAAAGAAGAAUCUGAUCAAAGAAACAGAUCAAUAUGGGUGGACUCCAAUUCAUUACGUUGCAUAUCAUGGAAAUUACAGGACGAUAAAUUUGUUAUUAGAAACUGAUCAAUCCGCUUCGAACAUUGCUGACAAAGAUGGAAAGAUGACAGCUCUUCAUUUGGCAGCGGGCCAAGGGCAUGCCAAAAUAGUUGAAGCAAUUAUUUCUAAAAAUCCAGAAUGUUACGAGCUGGUCGAUAACAAGGAAUGGAAUUUUCUCCAUUAUGCUAUGGUUAGUUUUCAUGUUGGACAACUAAGAAAUCUUCUUGAAAAUAAUCCGUUAGCGAGGAGUCUUAUAGAUGAGGGGGAUGCCGAGGGAAACACUCCUCUCCAUGUGCUUGCUGCAGUCCGUCCAACUGAAUUCCAUGAUGUUAUGAAUAGGAGUACUCAAGCCAACUAUGACGCUGUCAACAAACAAAAUGUUAGUGUCAGACACAUUUUUAAUUAUGGCUAUCCUGAGCUCAAGGUAAUUAUUUAAUUUGUUCUUUCAACUAAAUUAUUAAAUUUAAUUUUUUUUACGCAAUUAAUUAAUAUUCAAAUGUAAAUUAAUUACAGGAAGAAAUCCAAAAAUUAUCCAAAGAAGUUGGAAGAGGACAAUAUUCAAAAGGUGUUAUAUUCAUAAGAGAAGUGCAAAAGUAUGUUAAUAAAGAAAAUUACAAGGAUACAAGAGCAUCACAUUUGGUAGUGGCUGCACUCAUAGCAACAGUAGCCUUCGCAGCAGCUUUCACCAUUCCUGGCGGUUAUAGAAGCGAAAAUGGAACUGCAAUCCUGAGGAGAAAUAAAGCUUUUCAAUUAUUUAUGGUAGCAGAUUCCAUUGCCAUGGCCUUUUCUCUUUCUGCCGUCGUUACUCACUUCUGGUUGUCUUAUGUAACUGAAGAAACUAAAGAUUUCAAUGAGGAUUUGUUCCACGCUUCCAUUUGGUUCACCUUAUGGUCCAUGGCAGCAAUGGUGAUUGCAUUUGUUACGGGCACAUAUGCAAUGUUAGCCCCUUCUUUAGGCCUUGCUAUUAUCACUUCUUUAAUUGGCCUGAGCUUUUUCUUGCCUGCGAUUUUGAUCGUCAGAUUGUCUUAAAUAAGUAGGACAAAAGUAAUUGAUUGUAGCGAGUCACCAUCUUUGUUUAUCAAUAAAAUGAUUGAUUUUCAUUUAACAUAAACAUUAAUUAAUUUACUCAAUCUUUG
Molecule: long non-coding RNA, 23277 nt
Filed under: Citrus maxima (pomelo)
Lineage: Eukaryota; Viridiplantae; Streptophyta; Magnoliopsida; Sapindales; Rutaceae
Description: long non-coding RNA (CMAX_LNC003708)
Source: RNAcentral